RNAcentral lists this ribosomal RNA (406 nucleotides) under uncultured bacterium. RNAcentral describes it as "partial 16S ribosomal RNA". It matches the Rfam family "Bacterial small subunit ribosomal RNA", at positions 30 to 526 of the family's 1533-position model. The record is from RNAcentral.
AUUGAACGCUGGCGGCAGGCCUAACACAUGCAAGUCGAACGAGUGGCGGACGGGUGAGUAAUGUCUGGGAAAAUGCCUGAUGGAGGGGGAUAACUACAGGAAACGGUAGCUAAUAACGCAUACCAGCGGAUGUGCCCAGAUGGGAUUAGCUUGUUGGUGGGGUAACGGCUCCCCAAGGCGACGAUCCCUAGCUGGUCUGAGAGGAUGACCAGCCACACUGGAGCUUGGACACGGUCCAGCCUCCUACGGGAGGCGGCAGUGGGGAAUAUUGCACAAUGGGCGCAAGCCUGAUGCAGCCAUGCCGCGUGUAUGAAGAAGGCCUUCGGGUUGUAAAGUACUUUCAGCGGGGAGGCGUUACCCGCAGAAGAAGCACCGGCUAACUCCGUGCCAGCAGCCGCGGUAAUUC